AGAGUUUGAUCCUGGCUCAGAAUGAACGCUGGCGGCGUGCCUAACACAUGCAAGUCGGAUGUGCCGCAAGGUGCAUGGCAGACGGGUGAGUAACGCGUGGGGAACCUACCUCUUUGUGGGGAAUAACGCUCCGAAAGGAGUGGUAAUACCGCAUGAGACCUUCAGCUGGGACGCUGGAGGUGAAACCUGGGGACCAGCAAUGGCCUGGGGCAAGGAGAGGGUCCUGCGUCUGAUUAGCUAGUUGGCGGGGUAAUGGCCCACCAAGGCGACGAUCAGUAGCCGGCCUGAGAGGGUGAUCGGCCACACUGGAACUGAGACACGGUCCAGACUCCUACGGGAGGCAGCAGUGGGGAAUUUUGCGCAAUGGGCGAAAGCCUGACGCAGCAACGCCGCGUGGGUGAUGAAGGUCUUCGGACUGUAAAACCCUGUCGUCAGGGACGAAGGUAGCAGUGUUAAUAGCGCUGUUGCUUGACGGUACCUGGAGAGGAAGCCCCGGCUAACUCUGUGCCAGCAGCCGCGGUAAUACAGAGGGGGCAAGCGUUAUUCGGAAUUAUUGGGCGUAAAGGGCGCGUAGGCGGUUUUUUAAGUCAGAUGUGUAAUCCCCGGGCUUAACCUGGGAACUGCAUCUGAGACUGGGAGGCUAGAGUACUGGAGAGGGUGGUGGAAUUCCUCGUGUAGCGGUGAAAUGCGUAGAGAUGAGGAGGAACACCAGUGGCGAAGGCGGCCACCUGGACAGUAACUGACGCUGAGGCGCGA
Molecule: ribosomal RNA, 756 nt
Filed under: uncultured Acidobacteriota bacterium
Lineage: Bacteria; Pseudomonadati; Acidobacteriota
Description: bacterial SSU rRNA
Rfam family: Bacterial small subunit ribosomal RNA
Source: RNAcentral